RNAcentral lists this ribosomal RNA (429 nucleotides) under Pseudomonadota bacterium. Its description in RNAcentral is "Proteobacteria bacterium partial 16S ribosomal RNA". It matches the Rfam family "Bacterial small subunit ribosomal RNA", at positions 355 to 776 of the family's 1533-position model. Lineage: Bacteria; Pseudomonadati; Pseudomonadota. The record is from RNAcentral.
UGGGGAAUAUUGGACAAUGGGCGAAAGCCUGAUCCAGCCAUGCCGCGUGUGUGAAGAAGGUCUUCGGAUUGUAAAGCACUUUAAGUUGGGAGGAAGGGCAGUAAGCGAAUACCUUGCUGUUUUGACGUUACCGACAGAAUAAGCACCGGCUAACUCUGUGCCAGCAGCCGCGGUAAUACAGAGGGUGCAAGCGUUAAUCGGAAUUACUGGGCGUAAAGCGCGCGUAGGUGGUUCGUUAAGUUGAAUGUGAAAGCCCCAGGCUCAACCUGGGAACUGCAUCCAAAACUGGCGAGCUAGAGUAGGGCAGAGGGUGGUGGAAUUUCCUGUGUAGCGGUGAAAUGCGUAGAUAUAGGAAGGAACACCAGUGGCGAAGGCGACCACCUGGGCUCAUACUGACACUGAGGUGCGAAAGCGUGGGGAGCAAACAGG